Molecule: non-coding RNA, 26 nt
Filed under: Cricetulus griseus (Chinese hamster)
Lineage: Eukaryota; Metazoa; Chordata; Mammalia; Rodentia; Cricetidae
Source: RNAcentral
GAAGAUAUGACUGUAGCUUACUAAAA